Molecule: ribosomal RNA, 179 nt
Filed under: uncultured eukaryote
Lineage: Eukaryota
Description: partial 18S ribosomal RNA
Rfam family: Eukaryotic small subunit ribosomal RNA
Source: RNAcentral
UGGUGGAGUGAUUUGUCUGGUUGAUUCCGUUAACGAACGAGAUCUUGACCCUUCAAUGACAGUCGGAUUAUACGUAAUCUCACGCUCUGUUCUUCGGAUCAGUCGUAGGAUGAGAUCCGUACAUGUACUCAAGGGGACGAUGCAUGAUUACCAAUGCGUGGAAGUUCGAGCCAAUAGCA